AGAGUUUGAUCCUGGCUCAGAUUGAACGCUGGCGGAACGCUUUACACAUGCAAGUCGAACGGUAACGCGGGGAGAAGCUUGCUUCUCUCCGGCGACGAGUGGCGAACGGGUGAGUAAUACAUCGGAACGUGUCCGCUCGUGGGGGACAACCAGCCGAAAGGUUGGCUAAUACCGCAUGAGUUCUACGGAAGAAAGAGGGGGACCCGCAAGGGCCUCUCGCGAGCGGAGCGGCCGAUGACUGAUUAGCCGGUUGGUGAGGUAACGGCUCACCAAAGCAACGAUCAGUAGCUGGUCUGAGAGGACGACCAGCCACACUGGGACUGAGACACGGCCCAGACUCCUACGGGAGGCAGCAGUGGGGAAUUUUGGACAAUGGGCGCAAGCCUGAUCCAGCUAUUCCGCGUGUGGGAUGAAGGCCCUCGGGUUGUAAACCACUUUUGUAGAGAACGAAAAGACACCUUCGAAUAAAGGGUGUUGCUGACGGUACUCUAAGAAUAAGCACCGGCUAACUACGUGCCAGCAGCCGCGGUAAUACGUAGGGUGCGAGCGUUAAUCGGAAUUACUGGGCGUAAAGGGUGCGCAGGCGGUUGAGUAAGACAGAUGUGAAAUCCCCGAGCUUAACUCGGGAAUGGCAUAUGUGACUGCUCGACUAGAGUGUGUCAGAGGGAGGUGGAAUUCCACGUGUAGCAGUGAAAUGCGUAGAUAUGUGGAAGAACACCGAUGGCGAAGGCAGCCUCCUGGGACAUAACUGACGCUCAGGCACGAAAGCGUGGGGAGCAAACAGGAUUAGAUACCCUGGUAGUCCACGCCCUAAACGAUGUUAACUAGUUGUUGGGAAGUAAAAUUCUCAGUAACGCAGCCAACGCGAGAAGUUAACCGCCUGGGAAGUACGGUCGCAAGACUAAAACUCAAAGGAAUUGACGGGGACCCGCACAAGCGGUGGAU
This 945-nucleotide ribosomal RNA is filed under the name human gut metagenome. Its description in RNAcentral is "bacterial SSU rRNA". It matches the Rfam family "Bacterial small subunit ribosomal RNA", at positions 8 to 937 of the family's 1533-position model. The record is from RNAcentral.